Molecule: ribosomal RNA, 497 nt
Filed under: uncultured bacterium
Lineage: Bacteria
Description: partial 16S ribosomal RNA
Rfam family: Bacterial small subunit ribosomal RNA
Source: RNAcentral
GACGAACGCUGGCGGCGUGCCUAAUACAUGCAAGUUGAGCGCUGAAGGUUGGUACUUGUACCAACUGGAUGAGCAGCGAACGGGUGAGUAACGCGUGGGGAAUCUGCCUUUGAUCGGGGGACAACAUUUGGAAACGAAUGCUAUUACCGCAUAAAAACUUUAAACACAAGUUUUAAGUUUGAAAGAUGCCAUUGCAUCACUCAAAGAUGAUCCCGCGUUGUAUUAGCUAGUUGGUGAGGUAAAGGCUCACCAAGGCGAUGAUACAUAGCCGACCUGAGAGGGUGAUCGGCCAAAUUGGGACUGAGACACGGCCCAAAAGCCUACGGGAGGCAGCAGUAGGGAAUCUUCGGAAAUGGACGAAAGUCUGACCGAGCAACGCCGGGGGAGGGAAGAAGGGUUUCGGAUCGUAAAACUCUGUUGGUAGAGAAGAACGUUGGUGAGAGUGGAAAGCUCAUCAAGUGACGGUAACUACACAGAAAGGGACGGCUAACUACGUG